GACAGAGGCCUCGAGCGUUAGGCGGAAUCACUGGGCUUAAAGCGUGUGUAGGCGGGCCCGUAAGUGUCUUGUGAAAUCCCACGGCUCAACCGUGGAACUGCUGGGCAUACUGCGGGUCUUGGGCCAACUAGGGGCAGCCGGAACAAGCGGUGGAGCGGUGAAAUGCGUAGAUAUCACUUGGAACGCCAAUGGUGAAGACAGCUCGCUGGGGGUGUCCUGACGCUGAGGCGCGAAAGCCAGGGGAGCGAACAGG
Molecule: ribosomal RNA, 253 nt
Filed under: uncultured bacterium
Lineage: Bacteria
Description: partial 16S ribosomal RNA
Rfam family: Bacterial small subunit ribosomal RNA
Source: RNAcentral